GUCCACGCCGUAAACGAUGUCUACUAGUUGUCGGGAGACCUGUUCUUUUGGUAACGAAGCUAACGCGAUAAGUAGACCGCCUGGGGAGUACGGCCGCAAGGUUAAAACUCAAAUGAAUUGACGGGGGCCCGCACAAGCGGUGGAGCAUGUGGUUUAAUUCGAAGCAACGCGAAGAACCUUACCUACUCUUGACAUCCUGCGAACUUGGUAGAGAUACCUUGGUGCCUUCGGGAACGCAGUGACAGGUGCUGCAUGGCU
This 258-nucleotide ribosomal RNA is filed under the name uncultured bacterium. RNAcentral describes it as "partial 16S ribosomal RNA". It matches the Rfam family "Bacterial small subunit ribosomal RNA", at positions 793 to 1050 of the family's 1533-position model. The record is from RNAcentral.